This 765-nucleotide small RNA is filed under the name Arabidopsis thaliana (thale cress). RNAcentral's name for it is "ATSL210140". Lineage: Eukaryota; Viridiplantae; Streptophyta; Magnoliopsida; Brassicales; Brassicaceae. The record is from RNAcentral.
AUAUUUGUUUUGACAUAAAUUUGAGAUUCAGUUAUCUAAGAAACUUCUUCUUCUUCAACAAUGGCGGCUUGAUUUGAUUUUUGCUCUCUCUCAUGUGUCAAACUCGUUUCAUCUAUGUAGCAUCGAGAUUCCGGUUAAUCGAAUUUCCUGUUAUUAUGGACAUGGUAUACAGAAUGGAUAUAGAGCAGUAAAAAUGUUUCUGAAUGGAUAUAUUUAAAUGGACUCGUUAUUAUGGACAUCAAAACAUUGUUUGUUGAUUUUUCUUUCGGUUUGCAGAGACCUCUACCUUCAAAACCUUAUGGACAUGGAACUUUGGUUUCUUUACAAAACACAGUUAAUCGAAUCUCCUGUUAUUAUUGACAUGGUAUAUAGAAUGGAUAUAGAUCAGUAGAAAGGUUUCUGAAUGGAUAUAUUUAAAUGAACUCGUUAUUAUGGACACCAAAUAAUUGUUUGUUGAUUUUUCUUUCAGUUUUGAAGAGACCUCCACUUCCAAGACCUUAUGGACAUGAAAUUUUGGUUUAUUUACAAACUACGGUUAAUCGAAUCUCCUGUUAUUAUGGACAUGGUAUAUAGAAUGAAUAUGAAUCAGUAAAAAGUUUUCUGAAUGGAUAUAUUUAAAUGGACUCUUUAUUAUGGACACCACCUCUGAGACCUUAUGGACACAAAACUUUUACCAAAUUCCUGAGAUAAUCGAGAUCGAAUUGUUUAAGAAACUUCUCCAAAAGUUGUGGAGACGUGGAGAGAGAGAGAGAGAGAGAGAGAGAG